AACGAACGCUGGCGGCAGGCCUAACACAUGCAAGUCGAGCGGGACCUUCGGGUCUAGCGGCGGACGGGUUAGUAACGCGUGGGAACGUGCCCAAAGGUACGGAAUAGCCUCGGGAAACUGAGAGUAAUACCGUAUGUGCCCUCGGGGAAAGAUUUAUCGCCUUUGGAUCGGCCCGCGUUGGAUUAGGUAGUUGGUGGGGUAAUGGCCUACCAAGCCGACGAUCCAUAGCUGGUUUGAGAGGAUGAUCAGCAACACUGGGACUGAGACACGGCCCAGACUCCUACGGGAGGCAGCAGUGGGGAAUCUUAGACAAUGGGGGAAACCCUGAUCUAGCCAUGCCGCGUGAGCGAUGAAGGCCUUAGGGUUGUAAAGCUCUUUCAGAUGGGAAGAUAAUGACGGUACCAUCAGAAGAAGCCCCGGCUAACUCCGUG
This 431-nucleotide ribosomal RNA is filed under the name uncultured bacterium. RNAcentral describes it as "bacterial SSU rRNA". It matches the Rfam family "Bacterial small subunit ribosomal RNA", at positions 29 to 507 of the family's 1533-position model. The record is from RNAcentral.